AUUAUUUUUGGCUAUAAAUACGACGUUUGUUUUCAUUGAAAGGGGGAAGAACCAUUGAAAAUAUAGAGUAUUCAGUAGUCAUAAGAGGAGGAAAAAAGAGGAAUUUUUUUUCCAUUGAAAAUUAACCCAGCUCUUAGAGCAAGUUUCAUUUCGGAAGUGAAAGUUUCUUCAUGGUCAAGCUCGUUGUCCCAAACGCUGCCCGGAAAAAGAUUGGAAACGGUCUGAGGCAUUGAAGAAAGGAAAGACAUUGGUGGAUUAGCUUGCUUUACUUCGGAUCUUCGAUUGAGCGAGUGUUCCACAGACUUCGACUCGACCUCAGCUCUAGUCAGUCUCAAGAUCAUCGGAUUUCAGGGUGAGCUAUCCUUCUAGCUGCGUGAUGGAUUUUCUCGGUUAUGGCAUAGUGUCUUUAGUUUUCAGACACAUCUUAUUAACUGUUCAUUUUGGUGCUUAAUGUUCCAGACUUAGUUUUAGAAUUUAGAUGUCCUUCAUGUGAUGACUUUCAAAUUUUGGGGAACGUCAAGUAAUAGAUUUUAGUGGAUUUUGUUAUUUUUGACUUUAAUAGGAUUGAGCUUCCGCAGUGUUAUCGUGAUUUAUAAGUUGAAUCGUUAAUGUAAGUUGGGGUUUGUAUCGUUGGUUCUCCCACCUAGGAGGUUAAGUGUGGGUGCCACUCACGGCCCAGUUUGG
Molecule: long non-coding RNA, 684 nt
Organism: Solanum dulcamara
Lineage: Eukaryota; Viridiplantae; Streptophyta; Magnoliopsida; Solanales; Solanaceae
Exons: 3
Source: RefSeq, a predicted model, not a curated record